GGGUGUGAGAGUGAUUUGGCCACAACAUCUGUCACCCCAUUGAUUGCCAGACUGGCUUCGUUAGUUCUGGGUGGCUAGGCCAGGGUCUCCAUCCUCUCCUGCCUUCCUACAGACAUCGCUCCCGGAGCUGCACACUGUCCUUCUCUAACAGGGUGGACCAUUGGUCAGAGCAGAGCAUACUUAUUAUCAGA
This 191-nucleotide small nuclear RNA is filed under the name Otolemur garnettii (small-eared galago). Its description in RNAcentral is "7SK RNA". It matches the Rfam family "7SK RNA", at positions 1 to 188 of the family's 331-position model. Rfam says of the family: 7SK was discovered as an abundant small nuclear RNA in the mid-70s but a possible function has only recently been suggested. The record is from Rfam by way of RNAcentral. Lineage: Eukaryota; Metazoa; Chordata; Mammalia; Primates; Galagidae.